Molecule: ribosomal RNA, 465 nt
Filed under: Vreelandella stevensii
Lineage: Bacteria; Pseudomonadati; Pseudomonadota; Gammaproteobacteria; Oceanospirillales; Halomonadaceae
Description: partial 16S ribosomal RNA
Rfam family: Bacterial small subunit ribosomal RNA
Source: RNAcentral
CCUACGGGUGGCAGCAGUGGGGAAUAUUGGACAAUGGGGGCAACCCUGAUCCAGCCAUGCCGCGUGUGUGAAGAAGGCCCUCGGGUUGUAAAGCACUUUCAGUGAGGAAGAACGCCUGGUGGUUAAUACCCAUCAGGAAAGACAUCACUCACAGAAGAAGCACCGGCUAACUCCGUGCCAGCAGCCGCGGUAAUACGGAGGGUGCGAGCGUUAAUCGGAAUUACUGGGCGUAAAGCGCGCGUAGGUGGCUUGAUAAGCCGGUUGUGAAAGCCCCGGGCUCAGCCUGGGAACGGCAUCCGGAACUGUCAAGCUAGAGUGCAGGAGAGGAAGGUAGAAUUCCCGGUGUAGCGGUGAAAUGCGUAGAGAUCGGGAGGAAUACCAGUGGCGAAGGCGGCCUUCUGGACUGACACUGACACUGAGGUGCGAAAGCGUGGGUAGCAAACAGGAUUAGAUACCCCGGUAGUC